UUUGCACAGCAGGAUAAGCAAGCUUUUGACUUGGUUCCAGGUACGACAAUAGCUGAGAGCCAUCAAAAGUACGAAGAAAAUAGCUGCCAGCCGUUCUGUCUGACUUGGGUGAUCCUGAUUUUCCUCUUGCUCUGUCAAACCCUGCUCGCUCAGUCCUCUCUGAUGGGACUGAGGACAGAACAUCCUUCCGAGAGCGGCUUUUGUUUCCGUCGGCAUUUAACUGUGACUCCUUUGUGGGAUAUGCACAGCCUCGGGAAGAGAACCUUGUCCUCUGCCUUCCUGUGCCUCUCCAAGAGGGACCUCCUCUCAGGGUACUGAGCCCGGACAGCGCACGGAAUGGGAAGGGGUUGGACCUCCAAGGUUCGUGGAAUGCCAGCACACAGCAGAAAUCUUCAGAGACAAUAUUCAGGGAGGCUUUGUUAAGGAAAAAGAUUUGCCAUUGGACGUUACCGAAGAAAUACCGUCUCCUGUCUCCUGCUCCAGACUUUGGCAACGGGAAUUAGCAGACCAAUCCUUUUCUUCCCUACUCCCUGAAAAGGACAGUGGGAAGCCAGGACACCACCUUUAUCUGAAGGCUUAUAUUACUACUCUGAACAAGCAGUCCAUGAUUUUGAAGGAGAGGAUGAGGGCUUUUUCUAUUACUUGAGGGGUCUGCCCUUGAACUGAAGACCACAGCUUUUAAAAGCCUGGAGCAGUGAUGUCUGUCUUUCAGAAAUCCAUGCAGGAUGCAGACGUUCUUGUUCAGCUUCUAGACACUACAUCUGUUUGUUAAACUUCAAGACUGAGUUUUUUCUCAAGCUUUUCCAGUCUGAGUCACAUUGCUCAGGGGUCGUGGUGCAAAUGCUGCUAUCUUUUGUGCAAGAUCAGUGCAGUCAGGCCACAUGGUCUCUGGCUGUGCUCUGAGCUGAGUGGUCACACUGUCCGCCCCUGAGUGUCACUGGCUCAUGGCAGAGAUGGAUCAAACUCCUUUGGGUUUUGGUGGUGGCAGUCCGUGUUACCCAAUGGCCACAAGGUUUGUGCAGGACUGUUUCUCUGACACAGAUCCAACCACACUUCUAAGGAGAACCCCCAGAGGCUCGCAGCUCACACUUGAUGUUGUUUGCUUAUUUUCAAAUGCAACACUUCAGCACGAAGAGGAGACCUUUAAUAUGGAAAAAGUCAAAUUCCAGUGAAGGCAACAGUGGAUCUGACCCAGAUUUCUGGCCAGAAACUCUGAUCAGAGUGAAGUAGCUACCCUGAAGUUCCUGCUCUCCAAUUAGGAAGAUGUCAGCGAGCGCACAGCUAAGCACCAGUCUGGUAAACAUAGGGAUGUUUUUAUUAAACAGCUUUGGGAUGCAGAAGUAUUUACACUGACCUUGUUUUUCAACUCUUCAGAGGGCCGAGGAGGAAGCUGGAGGUUCUGUAGGAAAUAAUCCUCCUUCAUUAUAUUUCUUCCCAUCUGUUGGGUUAGUUUUUAGGGUUUAUAUGCAUUCAUCUGUCAGGGAGCACUGGGGAUUUCAGAAGCAGGAAACUUUAUCAGGGAAAUAUCUCAGGGCACCUCUGUGUGACAUGGACAGGAGCUCAGUGCCAGGUGAGGGGGUUCUUGGGGAGCCAGCAAGCUCAGCCCAGUUCUGCUGUACCAGAGAGCACAGA
Long non-coding RNA from Hirundo rustica (Barn swallow), 1632 nucleotides. RefSeq lists it as uncharacterized. The record is from RefSeq and is a predicted model, not a curated record. Lineage: Eukaryota; Metazoa; Chordata; Aves; Passeriformes; Hirundinidae. The transcript is spliced from 3 exons.